AUGUUGAUGGCAGCUGCACAUUUGGCCAUGAGUGGUGUCACAACUGCCAAAGCCUCAUUCAUGAUUUUGACUCUGCUGUGUCUGGUCGAUUUUUCAAGUUCAGUGAUAAACAGGGAUCAACUGGAGGUACUGAAAGCAAACAUUCAAAGAUUACAACAAGAAACAAUGAGAAGGAAGGUGAGUCUGUCAAUAUCAAUGUUGAGAACAUCCAUAACUGCUAAUAUAAAAACUCCCAUCAUAUCCAAGUCUUUUUGCACUCUUUACACUACAUAUUUUUGUAUAUUUUGUUACAAUAAUUUGGUUUAUUUUUGUGCUCCAGGCUGAAAAUAAUUUGGACAGAGCCUACAUUCCAGCUAUUUUUGAUGAUAUUAAACAUCUCAUGAAUCCUAUGUCCGAAUUUUUGAAGUCAUUGAAUCUUCCUACAUCGCUGUUUAUACCAAUACUGGAUUUAAUGGAUGACACAGAAACCUUUCUGGAAGCCAGCAAGAAGUACAUAAAUAAGUACUUGGAGUCAACAGCUGCAGUAUUCAAGGACAAUGAACAGAAGCUAAGCAGUGUGAUGGCAAUAUUAACACAACUAGAAAAGCAUAAAGAUGAAUUGUAACAUAUUAGUCAUCGUCUGUCUCUAGUAUUACAUGUUCUGUAUUUGUAAAACUUCUCUUUCAUACUGUGCAUGGUUAGAGCCAAGAAAUAAUUUUGUCAUAUUAUCUUUUCAUUGUCUUUGUUAUAAUUGAGUUCAAAUGCAAACACGAAACACUGAACUGAGAUUAUAUCUAAGUAACCUUAAUAACACUGACAAUUGUUAAUGAUUUAAAUGAUGAAAGCCUUUUAAUGUGAAUAAAGACAUUAAUACUGUUAUUAUUUCAUGUUUUUUUGCAUUGUGAUGUUCGUGAGAAAAGAGAAAAGAGCAAACACUAGAGGCUGAUCGUUCUCUAGUGUUUGCUCACUGCCCAAAAUGUAAAUUCUUUAAGCCACAAAAUGCAGAACACCUAUCAGCCAAUCCUCUGAUGUAGGCCGUCUGUGUGUGUAUGUGUGUGUGUGUACUGUUAUUCCACACUAUAGACUAGAUGUUUUAUACUGGUGUUAAAGGGAGAGUUUAGUCCUACACUCAAUCACAU
This 1118-nucleotide long non-coding RNA is filed under the name Oreochromis niloticus (Nile tilapia). RNAcentral's name for it is "lncRNA (ENSONIG00000034829.1)". The record is from RNAcentral. Lineage: Eukaryota; Metazoa; Chordata; Actinopteri; Cichliformes; Cichlidae.